RNAcentral lists this long non-coding RNA (932 nucleotides) under Macaca mulatta (Rhesus monkey). Its description in RNAcentral is "lncRNA (ENSMMUG00000050857.1)". The record is from RNAcentral. Lineage: Eukaryota; Metazoa; Chordata; Mammalia; Primates; Cercopithecidae.
UCCUUCCUUCCUUUUUCUUCUCUCUCUCUCCUCUCCUGUGUUCUCAUCUGACGCUUGCUUCUCUCACUGUGACUGCUAAUAUAGCUGGUCACUUUCAAGUCCACACAUUCUCUCACACGCACAAGCACACACACCACACACAGACACAAGCGCUAGUAUAGGGUCAUUGCCUAAAGCAGAGGAUGGGGAAAUGUUCGCUGGGAUUACAGGGGUGAGCCACUGCACCAGGCCAUAUACAUAUGUUAUAUAUAUACUCUCUUGUGUUAUAUAUAACGCUCUUGUGUUCUCUUGGCCCAGCAGCUCCGGGAACGGUCAGCGUGGGGGGCCAGGCUGGCGGGACAUUUGGGGUCCCCCAUACGUGAACCUAUGCCUGUUGUAAGAUGUUUGGAAAGGCGUUCAAAGAUGAGAUCAUGUUGUGUCCUUGGAAGCUGAAUGAAGAACCGGCUUGCAAAGGAGAAGCGCGUGCAGUCCCGGCGCGGCCCGCUCUGCUCGGUUCUCCCGGGCGGGCCUCGGCCUGGACUGCGUGUCGCGAGGGCUCGCGGGCCCCGCAUUGCUGCCUGCCACCGGCAGGUGUCUCUUUCCUGGCUUGGGAACCUAUUGUGAGUUCACCAAAUGGAGGCGCGAGGAGGAGGAGACGGGCAGGGGAGGGACGGCGAGAGCCGGAGCGGGCACCGCCCCCUGCCCGCCCGCGCCCCGAGCGCACGGCGGCCCAGCCACAAGGCUGCCGGUCCUCACCUUUGAAAUGCCGGCAGCUGCGCGCGCUGCGGCGGGCGCGGAGAGGAGCCACCUCGUCACGUGGGGAGGAAAUGCCUUGCCGGCCUCCAAACCUACUGGCUCUUGUUUCUGGGGUUUUAUGGCCAGGAGAGUCGGGUCACUUCUCAAACCCAAGAUCAAAGGGCAGCAAAAAUCUCAUCACAUCGCCAGAGAAAUAA